AUUGAACGCUGGCGGCAGGCCUAACACAUGCAAGUCGAGCGGAUGAACGGAGCUUGCUCCUGGAUUCAGCUGCGGACGGGUGAGUAAUGCCUAGGAAUCUGCCUGGCAGUUGUGUAUAACGUCCGGACACGGGCGCUAAUACCGCAUACGUCCAGAGGAAGAAAGGGGGGGAGCUUCGGACCUUACGCUAUCAGAUGAGCCUAGGUCGGAUUAGCUAGUUGGUGGGGUAAAGGCCUACCAAGGCGACGAUCCGUAACUGGUCUGAGAGGAUGAUCAGUCACACUGGAACUGAGACACGGUCCAGACUCCUACGGGAGGCAGCAGUGGGGAAUAUUGGACAAUGGGCGAAAGCCUGAUCCAGCCAUGCCGCGUGUGUGAAGAAGGUCUUCGGAUUGUAAAGCACUUUAGGUGGGGAGGAAAAGCAGUAAGUUAAUACCUUGCUGUUUUGACGGUACCAAAAGAAUAAGCACCGGCUAACUUCGUG
This 484-nucleotide ribosomal RNA is filed under the name uncultured bacterium. Its description in RNAcentral is "partial 16S ribosomal RNA". It matches the Rfam family "Bacterial small subunit ribosomal RNA", at positions 30 to 507 of the family's 1533-position model. The record is from RNAcentral.